This 478-nucleotide ribosomal RNA is filed under the name uncultured bacterium. Its description in RNAcentral is "partial 16S ribosomal RNA". It matches the Rfam family "Bacterial small subunit ribosomal RNA", at positions 28 to 507 of the family's 1533-position model. The record is from RNAcentral.
GAUGAACGCUGGCGGCGUGCUUAACACAUGCAAGUCGAACGGGAAUUAUUUUAUUGAAACUUCGGUCGAUUUAAGUUAAUUCUAGUGGCGGACGGGGGAGUAACGCGUGGGUAACCUGCCUUAUACAGGGGGAUAACAGUCAGAAAUGGCGGCUAAUACCGCAUAAGCGCACAGAGCGGCAUGGCUCAGUGUGGAAAACUCCGGGGGUAUAAGAUGGACCCGCGUUGGAUUAGCUGGUUGGUGGGGUAACGGCCCACCAAGGCGACGAUCCAUAGCCGGCCGGGGAGGGGGCACGGCCACGUUGGGAAUGAGACACAGCCCAGACUCCUACGGGAGGCAGCAGUGGGGAAUAUUGCACCAUGGGGGAGACCGUGAUGCAGCGACGCCGCGUGAAGGCAGAAGUAGCUCGGUAUGUAAACUUCUAUCAGCAGGGAAGAUAGUGACGGUACCUGACUAAGAAGCCCCGGCUAACUACGUG